GUGAUGUAGUGUUGUUACACUGUAGUUGUACCAAUUAUGGCGUGCUGUUCAGUCGUCGGGGUCACCAAUUAUGUGGCGACUUAAUCACCACAUUUAUAUAUUAUUAAGCAUGAUUUAUUGAAGAGUACUUGUAUUCUCGUUGGCGUCUGGACAAGAAUUGACGCUUCUUAAAACUAAAAACUAAGGAUUAGGAAUUCAGUUGAAACUGUAAAUUUCCAAGAAUAUACAGAGAAUGAAUAAUAGAAUAACUGACAAACAGUGUUGCCAGAUAGGUCUUGUCUAUGUGCCCACACAGCGUAAACAUUCAACGUGUCAUCAAAAAAAAAAAACAAACAACACAAAAAAAAGAAAAUCGUUGUCAGAUAUAAUAACCACUAUGUAACCGAGCCGUUCGAUACCAAACGAGGUUUCAGACAAGGCGACUCCCUAUCGUGCGAUUUCUUCAAUCUGCUGCUGGAGAAAAUAGUUCGAGCUGCAGAACUUAAUCGAGCAGGUACAAUCUUUUAUAAGAGUGUACAGCUGCUGGCGUAUGCCGAUGAUAUUGAUAUCAUCGGUCUCAACAUCCGCGCCGUUAGUUCUGCUUUCUCCAGACUGAAUAAGGAAGCAAAACAAAUGGGUCUGGCAGUGAACGAGGGCAAGACGAAAUAUCUCCUGUCAUCAAACAAACAGUCGUCGCACUCGCGACUUGGCACUCACGUCAUUGUUGACAGUCAUAACUUUGAAGUUGUAGAUAAUUUCGUCUAUCGUGGAACCAACGUAAACACCACCAACAAUGUCAGCUUAGAAAUUCAACGCAGGAUAACUCUUGCCAACAGGUGCUACUUCGGACUGAGUAGGCAAUUGAGAAGCAAAGUCCUCUCUCGACGAACAAAAACCAAACUCUAUAAGUCACUCAUAAUACCCGUCCCGCUAUAUGGUGCAGAGGCUUGGACGAUGACAACAUCCGAUGAGUCGACGUUGCGAGUUUUCGAGAGAAAAGUUCUACGAAAGAUUUAUGGUCAAGCGCGUUUGCGCGUUGGCCACGGCGAAUAUCGCAUUCGAUGGAACGAUGAGCUGUACGAGAUAUACGACGACAUUGACAUAGUUCAGCGAAUUAAAAGACAGCGGCUACGCUGGCUAGGUCAUGUUGUCCGAAUGGACGAAAACACUCCAGCUCUGAAAGUAUUCGACGCUGUACCCGCCGGGGGAAGCAGAGGAAGAGGAAGACCUCCACUCCGUUGGAAGGACCAAGUGGAGAAGGACCUGGCUUCGCUUGGAAUAUCCAAUUGGCGCCACGUAGCGAAGAGAAGAAACGACUGGCGCGCUGUUGUUGACUCGGCUAUAAUCGCGUAAGCGGUGUCUACGCCAAUUAAGAAGAAGAAGAACCAUUUUAUAACGAAAACUCAAGUUUUGUUUCAAUGCAUGAAACCUCUUUAUAAUCACUUUAUAACGAAAAUUAAAAUUUUAUAUAUAUGUAAUAAUAUACAUAUCGUCACCUAAAAUACAUAAAAACAUAUUAUCAAAAAUGAAUGAAAACCGUUGUCAGAUAUAAUAACCAAUAUUUAACGAUUUUAUAAUGAAAUCUCUAUUUUUUUCAGUAUGAGUGCUGGAUACGAAAAUAUAUAACCACUUUAUAACCAAAACUCAAAUUUUAUUUAUCGUCACCUGAAAUGCAAAAUAACGUAACAUUUCAAGAAUGAUAGAGAAAGUGAUUACGCAAUGCACAUGUUUGCUUUCAGUCAGCUGUUCUUGUCACGGUUGACUUAUUGUUCGCCCGCGCUUUUGAAUGUCAAUUCGAAUUGUGUUUUCAAGUGUUGUAUUAAUUGGGAAAUUUUAUUCUAUAUAUAUAAAAAUCAAUGCCACUUUCUUUGUAAUUUCAUCACUCAUAAACGGCUGAACCGAUUUGGCUGAUUUUUUUUUUGUUGUAUUUGUUAUUAUUAGGAGAAGGUUCUUAUGUAAGAAAAAAGUUGCCGGAAACCCCUAAAACAGCCCUUUUCUUUUUCCCAUACAAACGUUUUAUUUUGUAUAUACAUACAUACAUACAUAUGUAAGUAAAAAUGAUUGUUCGUUUGUUAGUAACGCUAACGCUCGAGAACGGCGGAACCAAUCUUCAUGAAAUCAGAAGUUGUUCGCUGUGGAUCUGGAAAGGGUUAGAUAUAAAAAAACCAUAUACUUUUCAUAAGGAAAAGUCGAAAAAUUGGAAAUUUCCAAAAAGUGACUUUUCAUACACUUCUUUUUUGUUUUGUUUUUCAAUAUUUUGAUUUGUAAAUUAUUUGAAUCGUUCAAUUUCGGUCGCUUACUUUUUUAUUCCGGAAAAAUUAUUGAAAAUUAUUCAGUGAAAACUUUAUGUGUGUUUCAAACGAAGUGAUCAAUUACAGAUUGAAAUUUGUUACGAAGCAACGAAGACAUCGCGCUAAUAUCGGUCGGAGUUCUUUUUGCCAUCAACGUAUGGCAGCUCAAGACACAAGAACUUCAUGAGACUCCCACGAUGCGAUGACAUAUGUGUGGAAUUAUGGAUCGCUGUCAAUCAGCAAGCGAUCAUCACGAUAAUACAGCAAGACUUUUCAAACAACAGCUACGGUGUUUGAUGAACUUUAUCUUGAAGCAACGUAUGUAUUUAUAUACAAGUAUGGUGCAGUCAGAUGCUGGAUGUACUCUGUUGAGUUGCAAAAAAGAGGUUUGCCCCAGGCACACAUUUUUCUUUGAAUGGUGGAUGGUGGUUACACCAGAUCAAAUUGAUGAAAUCAUUUCUGCCGAAAUUUCUCAUGCAGAGAAAGAUCCAUUAUUCUACGAAGCGAUGAAAACCAAUAUGGCGCAUGGACCUUGCAGACAUCCCACUUGCAAUAAAUGCACGGAACACUAUCCACGUGCUUUUCUUUCGGAAACGCAAACUGGAAAUGAUGGAUAUCCACUCUAUCGUCGUAGCUCAUCAGACGACAAUGGCAGGACAUUUACCAUUCAACUUAGAGUAGUGAAUAUCGAAGUUGAGAACAUAUUGAUCGUACUAUAUUCUCCACUGUUGUCUAAUUCACAUUCAAAACUCAUAUCAAUGUUUAGUAUUGCAGUUUGGUGUAAUCUAUAAAAUACGUUUGUAAGUACGUCAUCAAAGGAACCAAUAUGGCGGUUAUUGGUCUUGAACGAUACGGUCGAUACGUGAACUGCAAUAAAGCGCUUUGUAGAGUAUUUACUUCUGCAAUUCAUGAACGUUUUUUGACUGUUGUGCGUCUCGCAGUUUAUUUGAAGAAUGGCUUAAGAGUGUUUUUCAACCCAGAGAAUACAGUACAGCCAGCGGAAACACUUCCAAUAACAUUGACAUUUUCCAUAAUACAAUUGCUAAGUAUGUAUUUGGAAUAGAAGAAAAGAACUGCAACCAAAUACGCCGUGAAAUAGAUUAUAAAUGGUUCAGUAAUCAGUCGUUGAGUAUGUAUUAUACCACGUGCAUCCCUAAAGACUGAUGUCACAACCUUUCCAGCCGCCUUUUUCGUUUUUCCACGCUUGAAAACCAUCACCACCAACUUCAUCAUGUGCAGUCCACUAGAAUGACUGUCGAUUGGACUCCAGCGGGAAAUGAUGGAGCUAUAUUUUUUUAUUUAUUGCGAUUAGAGAGUACUUAAACACUUCUCAGAAUUAGUUGUUUUUGUUGGAUAAUGAACUUGCGAGCACCUACUUUGCAACUCAACGGUGGAUUUCCCUGAGCCCAAAUUCAAGAGUAUUUUUCACAAAAAAACAAAGCUUUAUUGACACAUGAAAUGCUUUAUGAUCGAUUUUUUUAAACUAACACAAGUUGCUUCAGAAAAAUGCUAUAUCUCAUUAACUAAUAGUUAUAAUCCAACUAAUAGAAAUCAUAUAGAUGGUAGUAGUAGUAUUAUCUAUGUAUCAGCCACAGUGAAGCGUGGACGGGUCCUCUAGUAGUUUUUAAAAUGCGUUGCGCAGUAUUCGGUUGCAAUAAUAAUAAUGGUAAAAAUUGUGCUACGAAAUGGAGAUUUUUCCAUUUCUCUAAAGAUAAAAUAGUCCUAAAACAAUGGAUUCAUUUUUGUCGUCGUACGGACCAAAUUAAUGUUAACAAGUAAGGAAGGGCUAAGUUCGGGUGUCACCGAACAUUUUAUACUCUCGCAUGAUAAAGUGAUAAUCGAGAUUUCAUUAUCCGUCAUUUACAUAUUUGUUUAUUUUGGUUGAUAAUGUAUAUAUUGUAUUAUACAGAGAAGGAAUCAGAUGGAAUUCAAAAUAGCGUUAUAUCGGAAGAAGGCGUGGUUGUUAACCGAUUUCGCCCAUAUUUCGUACGUAUCAUCAGGGUGUUAAGAAAAUAUUAUAUACCAAAUUUCAUUGAGAUCGGCUGAGUACUUCCUGAGAUAUGGUUUUUGGUCCAUAAGUGGGCGACGCCCACUUUUCAAUUUUUAAAAAAAGCCUGGGUGCAGCUUCCUUCUGCCAUUUUUUCCGUAAAAUUGAAUGUUUCUGACGUUUUUUGUUAGUCGGUUAACGCACUUUUAGUGAUUUUCAACAUAACCUUUGUAUGGGAGGUGGGCGUGGAUUUUAUCCGAUUUCUUCCAUUUUUGAACUGUAUAUGGAAAUACCUGAAGGAAACGACUCUGUAGAGUUUGGUUGACAUAGCUAUAGUAGUUUCCGAGAUAUGUACAAAAAACUUAGUAGGGGGCGGGGCCACGCCCACUUUUCCAAAAAAAUUAGAUUAAAAUAUGCCCCUCCCUAAUGCGAUGGUUUGUGCCAAAUACUCUUUAAUAUCUUUAUUUAUGGCUUAGUUAUGACACUUUAUAGGUUUUCGGUUUCCGCCAUUUUGUGCGCGUGGCAGUGGGCCGAUUUUGCCCAUCUUCGAACUUAGCCUUCUUAUGGAGCCAAGAAAUACGUGUACCAAGUUUCAUCAUGAUAUCUCAAUUUUUACUCAAGUUACAGGUUGCACGGACGGACGGACGGACGGAGAGACAUCCGGAUUUCAACUCUACUCGUCACCCUGAUCACUUUGGUAUAUAUAACCCUAUAUCUGACUCUUUUAGUUUUAGGACUUACAAACAACCGUUAUGUGAACAAAACUAUAAUACUCUCUUUAGCAACUUUGUUGCGAGAGUAUAAAAAUGCAUGUAUUUGUGAAGUGCACUUCGCUCCAGAAGCCUUCGAAAGAAACUUGCAGUUUGAAAUGGUUCGCGAAAUCCAACUAAGUUGCUACCUAGCGCUUUUCCCACGUUAACCACUACUCCUGCAGAAGCUAAUGAACGACAGAAAAGGAUGGAGUCUCGUUCUAAAAAAGAGAUGUUAACAACAAUGUUGAAAAAUACCGCCCCUGUUGAAGUAAUUCAAGAAGACGAGGUUGGAGAGGCACCUCAAACUGCAGGAGAGGAGGUCAUCGAUGAUGGUUUCAUCAAUUGCUUCCAUUCCAAAAAGGUAUACUCCAAAGCAAUAUUGCUUUGAAAUUGCUGCUGGAUGACUUAAGACAACAGUACAAAAUUGAUUACGUUUUGACCUACCGAUUAAACCAGGACGUUUUGGAAAAUUUUUUUGGCGUAAUCAUGAUCACCCUGACAGACAGGAGUUCAAAUAUAGGCUGCGUUCCAAUAUACUUGGUCACAACGAAAGAGUGAUCACAGAAGAAGGCAAUGUUGAAGUCGACAACACACUAGAUUUGGAAGGGAAUUACUUAUCUCUAACCGGUGAUAUUUUUCAACGUGUGUCAGUUGAUCUAAUACUAUGUUCGGACCGACAACGAAAACAUGUUUUCGUGGGAAAAACUGGUCCAUGCAAAUCUGUCAAACGAAAACACAGUCGCUGAAAACUACUUGAAAACUUACAUUCCACUCAUUAUAAUCGGUGCUUGCUCUAGUUUAAUCGAUGUUUUUGGAAGACAUGUUUUGUCGGCCCUAAAUUGUCAUUUGAUAUUUGUUUACAUUCCAUAUACAAAUACAGCUGUUGCUUGAUCUUCUCAUAUUAGGGGGAUUCUCUUGCUCUUGUAAAACCUUGCACCGUGCAGAAAUUGCUGAAUUUUCCCUUUGGUGCAACGGCACAACAACAAACACACGCAGAAAAUUAUUUGCAAUGGCUGUAAAAUAUGUCAGACCAAAACCCAUGUUUAUUUUCGUGCCGUUAGCCGUUAUAUAUUUAUGUAUGACUAGAUUCUGGAUUUUUGCAUUUUGUGUCAUCGUGCAAUUUUGCAAGAGCAAGAGAAUGCCGCUUUUGAUAGUUGUCAGUGAAAACCCAUCGAAAACACACAUUGUCGGUCCGAACGACUUAGAUUCCACAACAUACAAAUAUGUUUUCAAAAUGUUUUCAAUGUCGGUCCGAACAUAGUAUAAAUUCCACUGACCCAAUUGAAAAAAAAUGAUGAGUUGGAGAUUCCCAACAACGACGGACUUGAGAAUUUGGCAGGGUACAUCUGCCACAAACUCGGUAAAGACUUUCCCGAAUUUGUGCCAAUUCAGAAAACUGUUCGUCUUAUACUUAGGUUGAUCGCCGUUCUGAAGGAGGACUCUCAAAACCCACAGAUAUGUUGAUGGAGAGUAUGAGAGGCUUGCAAGCAGUAUUUAACGACGUCAAUGAGCUAGGAUGUAUUUUAGGAUUCGUUCCUUAUACCAUGUUCAGACCGACACUUAAUCACACGAUUUCGGCUGGUGAAUGGAUUAUCCCACUAAUCUUAAAAAUUUAUCAGAUUUCGCCAUACUAAAAUGACAGUUCAAAAUUACUUCAUCAGAAUGAU
This is a long non-coding RNA of Bactrocera dorsalis (oriental fruit fly), 6676 nucleotides long. RefSeq lists it as uncharacterized. The record is from RefSeq and is a predicted model, not a curated record. The transcript is spliced from 5 exons. NCBI's taxonomy places the organism in Eukaryota, Metazoa, Arthropoda, Insecta, Diptera, Tephritidae.